AACGCACGAGACCUGCGGACCUGCGGAAGGAUCAUUAGCGAAUCUGUGGCCUCAAAGGCUCACUUUCCCUAUCCUUCACACACCUGUGCACCCUUCUGAAGCGGAGAGUUAUUAGGCAGCGCCUGCUGCCGAGCGCCUCCCUUCGGUCACCACAUCAACUUCAAACCACGUUUACUAGAAUGUAUACCGUCUUGUUGUAACGACAAGUACAAUCCAAUAAAACUUUCAACAAUGGAUCUC
This 240-nucleotide unclassified non-coding RNA is filed under the name soil metagenome. Its description in RNAcentral is "partial contains 5.8S ribosomal RNA, internal transcribed spacer 2, and large subunit ribosomal RNA". The record is from RNAcentral.